Molecule: long non-coding RNA, 403 nt
Filed under: Populus trichocarpa (black cottonwood)
Lineage: Eukaryota; Viridiplantae; Streptophyta; Magnoliopsida; Malpighiales; Salicaceae
Description: long non-coding RNA (PTRI_LNC002497)
Source: RNAcentral
CUUGCCUGUGAACUUGACCUCAAUUGGGCUAACGUUCUUUCCGAUUGACCUGAAAUUUUGGCCCACGCCUUGGCGCCCUGGGUUCACCUUCUCAGGGUAGACACCAUCCUUAGGAUGCAAGUACUGCACCUCUCCAUUGGGGAACACCCUGUAAAACUGGUACUUGAUCUUGUACUUGGACCUUAGCCUAGUCCCGAGAGCCAAGCACUGCUCCUUCCUGGCCAGCUUGAGCAAGUUAGGGCCUUCCCUCAUGAUGGCAGCACCCCCAGUCGGCAUUUCAAAUAUCUGUUCCUUGGGGGAGUCCCAUGUAAUCACAUAAAACUCCUCCACCUGGGCUUUCCUCAACAGCCCACCAGUGCUUCCACCAAAAAUUGGUGAUGGGGUACUCGGGUCCAACUCAGGU